RNAcentral lists this ribosomal RNA (62 nucleotides) under salal root associated fungus UBCtra1157C. RNAcentral describes it as "partial 5.8S ribosomal RNA". It matches the Rfam family "5.8S ribosomal RNA", at positions 95 to 154 of the family's 154-position model. From Rfam's summary of the family: 5.8S ribosomal RNA (5.8S rRNA) is a component of the large subunit of the eukaryotic ribosome. It is transcribed by RNA polymerase I as part of the 45S precursor that also contains 18S and 28S rRNA. The record is from RNAcentral. Lineage: Eukaryota; Fungi; Ascomycota.
AAUCUUUGAACGCACAUUGCGCCCCUGGGUAUUCCUGGGGGCAUGCCUGUUCGAGCGUCAUU